RNAcentral lists this transfer RNA (74 nucleotides) under Minisyncoccota bacterium. RNAcentral describes it as "tRNA-Val". It matches the Rfam family "tRNA". Rfam says of the family: Transfer RNA (tRNA) molecules are approximately 80 nucleotides in length. Lineage: Bacteria; Bacillati; Minisyncoccota. The record is from RNAcentral.
GGACUCAUAGCUCAGUUGGUUAGAGCGCUUCGUUUACAUCGAAGAGGUCAGAGGUUCGAGUCCUCUUGAGUCCA